UCCCAGUUCGGAUUGUAGUCUGCAACCCGACUACAUGAAGCUGGAAUCGCUAGUAAUCGCGGAUCAGAAUGCCGCGGUGAAUACGUUCCCGGGUCUUGUACACACCGCCCGUCAAGCCAUGGGAGCCGGGGGUGCCUGAAGUUCGUGACCGCAAGGAGCGACCUAGGGCAAAACUGGUGACUGGGGCUAAGUCGUAACAAGGUAUC
RNAcentral lists this ribosomal RNA (206 nucleotides) under uncultured bacterium. Its description in RNAcentral is "partial 16S ribosomal RNA". It matches the Rfam family "Bacterial small subunit ribosomal RNA", at positions 1286 to 1500 of the family's 1533-position model. The record is from RNAcentral.